Molecule: long non-coding RNA, 8565 nt
Filed under: Populus trichocarpa (black cottonwood)
Lineage: Eukaryota; Viridiplantae; Streptophyta; Magnoliopsida; Malpighiales; Salicaceae
Description: long non-coding RNA (PTRI_LNC001422)
Source: RNAcentral
GAUGGGGUGUUGCUGUACUUGUUGGUGUGCCCAACAAAGAUGAUUCUUUCAAAACCCAUCCAAUGAGUUUCCUGAAUGAGAAGACUCUCAAGGGUACCUUCUUUGGCAACUACAAACCGCGCUCCGACCUUCCUUCAGUGGUUGAAAUGUACAUGAACAAGGUAUAUCUGAGUUCCCAUUAAUAUCACUCGGUAUGCAGUAUACGAAUAUAUUUCUGUAUAUGUAGUCCAAUUAUGGUCCCUGUGAAAUUUCUUCGUGGAAACUUGAAGGUAAAAUUAAUUGGUCAAAACAACAAACUAAAAUGAUCGAAAUUGAUUACUGGGAAUGAAACUUCUUAGCCUUCUUUGCUAGCGCAAUGCAAAUAGCACUCUGGGGAUAGCUCUGGCUGCUACUAGCUAAAUGUACCAGUGGUUUUGUAAAUGUGAGAGCUGGUUCCACCACACUACCAAACACAGGCUCAACACCAUUGCUUGGAUCUUCAAACUCUUGUGUGAAGAAACAAAACAGUAGCUAUUCCUUUAUUCAGUUUUGAUGCAUUCAAUUGUUAAACUUACUAGUUGUAAUGUCACAGGAGCUUGAGCUGGAGAAAUUCAUCACCCAUGAGGUCCCUUUCUCAGAAAUCAACAAGGCUUUUGACUACAUGCUUAGUGGAGCAAGUCUCAGGUGUAUCAUCCGCAUGGAAGCGUAAAAGAAGACUGGUUUGUCCGUCUGAAUGUGAGAAGGAAACAAUAAAAUCAUGUUUGGGAUUGUUAAAUGUUGAACAAAGUUGGUGAUGUUUUAGUUUCUUUCAGUAAAUUUCUUGUAUUGUAAAUGGCACAUUAGCUUCCCAGUUCAGGCAUGUACAGAUAAAUAAAAAAUUCAAGUGUUUUUCUGACUUCAGCUUCUUCAGUUUAUCUCCUUCAGCUUGUGUCUUUCUAAUUCUAUGUCUCUGCAUAUAUGAGAAGUAAUGUCCCAACAAGUAACAUUAAUCACAUGUCUUUGACUGUAUUUCCAUUUACCCACGUAGUUUUUGCUGUCUUCCGAUCUCAUAGAUGUCUUUGUAUGCGAGUAGAAGGGUCUGUGUUACCUGUCUUGUGUUUUUUCCUUUUCCGUACAGAAAAAUUCAGCAGUAAAAUUUCCAUUUUGUUCGUUUUCUGUUAAAGCAAUCUUUCUAGUUUGGUUUCUUGUCAAUUUAGUUGGCAAUCUUGGGGUAGUAAAUCGAUGUCACUAUGUUUUGUUGACCAAGCAUGUCUCAAGAAGCAGAAUUAGUUUUUUGUUGUUGUUAUUUUAGUGGCUAUAACCAGUUUUUUUUUGUUAUGUAACAGUAUAACCUGAAAUGCAAGGAGAUUUUCUUGCAAUUCAGUUUUAUUUCUAUUGUAUAAAUAAAUGCUUUGAUAUUCAAUAAAAUUAUCAUCUUCUGCAUCUUAAGAAUUAAAAGACUUGCUUUCUCUUGUAUAUAACCAAUAUGGUAUCAUAGCUGAUUAUUUUAUAUGUGAUAUUAAGAAAGCCGAAACACAAUCUCUAAAUAAUUAUCACCUAACACUACACAUCCAAUAUGAAUUCAGAGAUGUCAUUCACUGGGCACCUCUAGUGUUUGAUGAGAUAAAUUAUCAAGUUUGGGCUGUUAGAAUAAAAGUCUAUCUUGAUGCUAAUAACAUGUAGAAAGCUAUUGAACAAGUAUAUGAAGUUCUAACCUUGCCCGACAAUCCAAGUAUUGCACAAAUAAAAAAUCACAAAGAGAAGAAGCAAAGAAAAUCAAAAGCAAGAGCAACUUUGUUUGGAGCAGUCUCACCCACCAUUUUUAACAUAAUAAUUACUCUAAAACAACCAAGGAAAUUUGGGAUUUUUUAAAGGAAGAAUACGAAGGAAAUGAGAGGAUCAAAGGGAUGCAAGUGUUGAAUUUGAUCCGAGAAUUUGAGAUGCAAAAGAUGAAAAAAUAAAAAACAAUUAAGGAAUAUUCUAAUAGACUUCUUGGCAUUAUCAAUAAUGUAAGAAUCCUUGGUACUGAUUCUUCUGAUUUUAGAAUUGUUCAAAAGAUCCUAGUAAUAAUUUUUGAGAAGUUUGAGACAACAAUCUUCAUAAAAGGACAAAACUUAUGGGUUAUAAAUAUAUCAUGAGACCUUCAAAACAAAGGUUCACAAUCUUCAUUCUCUAUUGCAUAUAUACUUUUAUAACAACUCUCUCUAGAAUAUUCUUAUAUUUUCUCUUUCUAAAAAGAUAUUUAUUUAAGUAUCAGAGAGUCCCACCUCCACCUAAAGGGACCUUUUGCAGGUACUAGUCAUAAGUCACCUUGACCUACCAAGCAUCCGGUAUAGCUAUUAACCUCCUUGUCUAGGGAGAAUUGAUGAGAUUGUUAGACCAGUUGAUUAACCAAUUAUCCAUCCUGAGAGCCUUAUUCCUAGGCUACUUGAAUUUUUAGAACUUCAUCAUAUAUACUUAGUAGAUUUGGCCUUGAUAUAUCUAAGGUGAAAGGAUAUUGCUUGUGAUGUGUUAAUCUCAAGUCAUAUAAGUUUAUUAUUUGAGGGAUGUGACAUUUAAAGAGUCUAUUAUGCUUCGCAAGAAAAAGAAGUCCACUAGUGUUGAUUUUGAGAUGGAUCAAGGUACUAACAAACAUGUGGAGCUUGAGGUUAAAGCUUCAGAGACAAUGCAAAAAUAUGUUCGAAUUGAACUAGUUGAUGAAGUGGUGCAUGAUAUUGUUGAUGAAAAUGCACUUGAAGAACAACAUUGUAAUAUUGCUAUAAGAAGGCAAAUAAGAUAGAUAAAAGCACUAGUUAAGUAUGAUUAUACUAAUCUAGUUGAUUUUUCCUUGAAUAUUGUAAAGAAUCUUGACAAUCAUGAGCCUUGUUAUAAAGAGGCAAUUUUUUUUACAAAUAAUCUUCUCAAUUGAUGUUUUUUAUGAACGAGAAGGUUGAGUCUCUUUAUAAAAACCAGACGUAUGAGCUUGUUAAAGAACCACAAGACCAAAAGAUUGUUGGGUGUAAAUGGGUUUAUAGUAGGAAAGAUUGAAUCUUAGGGGUUGAGGAUACUAGGUUUUAAACAUAACUAGUUGUUAAGGGCUUUACACAAAGAGAAUUGACUUCAAUUAAGUGUUCUAUGUAGUUGUGAAACAUAGUUCCAUCUAGGUAUUGCUUGCUAUGAUUACUUUAUUUGACUUAAAGCUUGAGUAGCUAGAUGUAAAAAUAACUUUUCUACAUGGUGAGCUGGAGGAGAUGAUCUACAUGCAUUAUCUAGAUGGUUUUAUUGCUCAAAGUUAGGAAGACCAUGUAUGCUUAUCAAAGAAUUCAUUGUAUGGCUUGAAUCAGUCAUAAAGGUAGUGGUAUAAAAUAUUUGAUACUUUUAUGCUUGGACACAGUUACUUUAGAAAUGACAAUGAUAGUUGUAUGUAUUUCAGAAAGCUCUCAAAUGGUUCAUUUAUGUACUUGUUAAUGACAUGUUGAUUACCUCCAAGAACAUGUAUGAAAUUAACAAUUUGAAGAACUAAUUGAGUGGUGAGUUUGAGAUGAAGGAUUUAGGUACAACCAAUAAGAUCUUAGGUAUACAAAUAUGCAAAGAUUGAAGUCCUAACAAGUUAUACUUGUCACAAAGAAAGUAUCUUAAGAAGGUACUUGAAUGUUUUGGUAUACAAGAUUGCAAGCCAGUUAGUACUCUACUUACAACCCAUUUUAGGUUAUCUUCAACUUUGUCACCAUAAACUAAGGAGGAAAAAAGCACAUGUUAAAUGUUUCAUAUGCUAGUGUAGUAAGGAGCAUUAUGUAUAUUAUGGUUUAUAUUCAUCCAGAAAUUUCACAUGUUGUUAGUGUGGUCAACAGGUUUAUGAUAAAUCAUGGUAAAGUUCACAAGCAUGCCAUGAAAUGAAUACUCUGCUAUCUUAAAGGUACUACAGAUAUUGGUCUGAUAUAUAACAGGAGUAGUGGCACUAGGAGUAAUGUUAAGGGUUUUGUAGACUCAGAUUAUACUAGUAGUUUGGAUAGAAGAAAAUCACUAACAGGUUAUGUUUUCACUAUUUUAGAGUGUGUCAUUAGUUGGAAAGAAAUUUCGCAAUCCAUUUUUUCCUUGUCAACAAUAGAGGCUGAGCAUAUGACAUUGACAAAGGGAGUGGAAGAAACUCUAUGGCUAAGAGGUUUGGUUUGUAAUCUUUGUUUAUCACACGAGUUGAUCAUUGUGCAUUAUAAUGACUAAAGUGCUAUUCAUCUAGUCAAGAACCAAAUGUAUCAUGGAAGGGUCAAACAUAUUGAUGUCAAGUUUUACUUUAUUCUAGAUAUCAUGUCAUAGGAUGUUAUAUCAGUGAAGAAGAUUGUUAUAACAGAAAACCCUGCAUAUAUAUUGACAAAGCCUAUCUCUGCAGUCAAGUUUAAGCAUUACUUGAACUUAAUUGGUUUGUGUAGUACUUGAGAGAUGCUUGAUGGAGGCAAUCAAAAAGGAGUUUAAGUUUCAUAAGUUGACUCAAUUUAAGCCAAGGUAGAGAUUUGUUAGGUUUAUCUUAAAUUGUAGCUCUCUAUGGGAGGAAAUAAAUACCUAUGUUAACCUAAUCCAUAUAAAAAAUCUAAAGUUAUCAUAUUUACAAGUCAAGGCUUAUUUGUGAGUGUUUAAAUUCUUUAUAUUUUUAUGGCUAGAUAGAAGAGAGAAAAUAUGAGUUUUGAGUUACUUUGGAAUUUGAAAUAUUUUACUUUUUCAAAUGAAUUUUUCUAAUAAUCUCAUCCACAGAGUAGAUUUAAGUUGCCAAACUAUAAAAAUUUUAUUAGCUCCUGUGUAAUUAAUUAUGUUUAUUUUUUUAUAUUUUUCUUAAAUUAAUUUGAAAUUUUAAGAUUGUUUUAAUUCCCAAGAUUUCUAUUGUGCUUCACUUUGAUGACAUAAUGUUUAGUGGAGUUAGCCAUGGGAAUUGAAAGGUUUCCUAAGAGGGACUUCAUAGGAAUUAAUAGACCAUUGUAAAACUUUUAAAGAGUUAAAUUAUUCAUAUAUUAUCUAACCCAAAAAAAAAUGCUUAAAUACUAUUUUUCAUCUUUUAAUCGAAAAUUUUCAAAAUUAGAUGAACUAAAGCUGUUUUACAAAUGAUUAGCCUCUUUUCAUUCAAAAGAUAUUUCAAACUUAUUAAUUAUUUAAAAGAGAAAGAAAAAAAGAACAAGAAGAAACUAUUGUUAGUUGACCUAUAAUAAAUUAAUAUGUAUUAAUUAUAUAAGUCAACUUGCAGUUAACAAGCCAAAAGAUAAAAUAAGAAUAAACCACAAAACAACAACUGGAAAUAUAAAACCACAAAGGCUAAAGAGAAUCAAUCCCCAACCAUGAUAGAGGUUUCAAAUUGAAUGUCAAACUACAAAAUCUUUCAAUUAUACCCUCCUACUAUCAUCUCUUAAAAUCAGUCCCUAGUUGCAUCUUACAAGGGAAAGCCAGGUUUUCAUACGCCUAGCACAUAAAUUAUAUUUUGAGUGUCAAAAACUAUUUGAUAUCAUAGAUAAGAAUUUGUUUUAAGAAUAUAAUUUAUACAAAUAGAGAGUUUUCAUACGCCUAAUGUUUUCUUCGCAAGCUAUAUGUUUUCUGGUAAUAUGAUGAUGUUGUUUCAAAUGAACUAAUUUGAUUACCAAACAAAGUUGACCUUAGUGGAAAGGGUUAGUUGUUUAAGCAAGUGGUCUCGUGUUUGAGCCCUUGUUAAUGCAGCAAAUUUUCUUUGGAGAAGUUCCAGUUUGGAUACCCGACGUAACCUCAAAGGGAAAUAGGCUAUGGAUGCCUUGAAGAAUAAAAAACAACCAAUUUGAUUAGGAGUUACAAUGAUAGAAAGAUUUUUUUAUUCAUUGAGGAAAGAUUAGGAUCAGAGGAGUCAAGAGGAAGAUGAGUUUUUAAAUCCAACUUCACUAGAAACUAAUCCUUUUCCUUAAACAGAUUGAUUAUUACUGGCUGCUAGCUAGAGUGGACAUUGUAAAUUUAUAUAUAUAUGUUAACGAGCCGUUAACAAACCGCAAGAUAAACUAAGAAUAAAUCACAAAACCACUACUGGAAAUAUAAAACAGGGAAUCAAGAGACCAUGGAGCCGCAGGUCCAAUCGGAGGAAACAACAAAACAGCAGAGAUCGUAGAUGGUUUUUCUCUUUAAAAUACUUGAAAUCAAUGGUUAACCAUAAGCAUGACAGACACACACAUGCUUCUGCUACUAUAAGAACCCACAAAGACAACCCUUUCUCUUCACAACACAAGAAACACAAAGUUCGUUCAACACAAGAAACAUAAAGUUCGUUCAAGACAAGAAAGAAUAUGUCAAGCACUGCUGGUCAAGUCAUUCGUUGCAAAGGUAACUGAGAAAAGCCACUUUACUUGGUUCUCGUUUUUACAUUUCUUGUUAUCUUUUGUCACUUAAAUAAUGGGAUGCGUGUAAUCAUCUGUAGCUGCUGUGGCAUGGGAAGCUGGAAAGCCAUUAGUGAUGGAGGAAGUGGAGGUGGCUCCACCACAAGCUAUGGAGGUUCGUUUGAAGAUCCUCUUCACUUCCCUCUGCCAUACUGAUGUUUACUUCUGGGAAGCCAAGGUUAUUAGCACUUCUAUUACGAUUUGUUUUUAUAAUCUGGGUGGUUGGCCUUCUUGUGUUCUUAGAGAUUGAUAAUAUAUAAUUAGCAUGGUUAAUUUGUCAUGUUGCAGGGGCAAACCCCAUUGUUUCCUCGCAUAUUUGGCCACGAAGCAGGAGGGUAUGAAUUUGAUCCAUUAGUUCAUUACUUUUUGUGCUACUUCGAUAAACUCAUUUUAUGUUGACAGUGAGGAAUGGGGGAGACUAAUUUGAUAUUUUCUUUUCUUGUAGGAUUGUCGAAAGUGUUGGUGAGGGGGUGACAGACCUGAAACCCGGUGACCAUGUGCUUCCUGUCUUCACAGGAGAGUGCAAGGAAUGCCGACAUUGCAAAUCAGAGGAGAGUAAUAUGUGUGAUCUUCUGAGGAUCAACACUGACAGAGGUGUGAUGUUGAAUGAUGGAAAGUCUAGAUUUUCAAUUGGAGGGCAGCCCAUUUACCACUUUGUUGGUACCUCAACCUUUAGUGAGUACACUGUGGUUCAUGUUGGCUGUCUUGCCAAGAUCAAUCCGGCUGCUCCUCUUGACAAAGUUUGUAUCCUCAGCUGUGGAGUUUCAACAGGUUAGGGGCGAAAUCCAAUUCAAUCUUUCUUCUAUGGAUGAAGAAUUUGUAGCUUUCAUGUAAUAAAGAUUUGUUUUUCUUUUACGUGUAGGUCUUGGUGCCACCUUGAACGUUGCAAAACCGAAGAAAGGCUCGUCAGUAGCCAUUUUUGGACUAGGAGCUGUAGGCCUUGCAGUAAGUUUCUUUUCCAAUACAAGAUUAGCGAGCAAUUUUCCUAUUCAGAAUGUGGAUGCUGAUGCAAAACUUGUUCGUGUUGUUUCUAUAUCACAGGCUGCUGAAGGGGCUCGAAUUGCUGGUGCUUCAAGAAUCAUUGGUGUCGAUUUGAAUUCCAAUAGGUUCAAUGAAGGUGAGAGGAGCAUUUACUGAGAUCAAAUUGCAAUGCAUCCACUGCUGAGUGCUCCUCUAAAAUUAUAUAUUGACUGAUAUACAUUUAGCACAGUCAAAUAGCCUAUAACAUGAAACUGAUAAAAUUAAGUAGCCUGAGUGUUGAUUCUUGGUAAUAAUGUUGCCCAUUGAGUCACGUUCUCUCUGUUGUAUUUGUAGCUGCUUUCUGAUGCUCAUUCUUGUUCUUUGUCAACAGCCAAGAAAUUCGGUGUCACGGAGUUUGUAAACCCAAAAGAUUAUAAGAAGCCUGUUCAAGAGGUUAGUGAGAUAGUGGAUCAUGGUUUGAGAAACAAGCGUGUGUGGAUCUCUCAAGUCUGUUCUAAAUUUGAUUCCAUGUCUUUAGGUGAUAGCUGAGAUGACCAACGGAGGAGUUGAUCGAAGUGUCGAGUGCACUGGAAGUAUUAAUGCCAUGAUUUCUGCCUUUGAAUGUGUCCAUGAUGUAAUUUUCGAUGAAUUCUUUUCAGUCAUUGAAAGUCAAAAAGAGAAUCACCGAGUUAAUAUGCUUAACAUUCUUGACGUUUUGCUUGCUUUGCAGGGAUGGGGUGUUGCUGUACUUGUUGGUGUGCCCAACAAAGAUGAUUCUUUCAAAACCCAUCCAAUGAGUUUCCUGAAUGAGAAGACUCUCAAGGGUACCUUCUUUGGCAACUACAAACCGCGCUCCGACCUUCCUUCAGUGGUUGAAAUGUACAUGAACAAGGUAUAUCUGAGUUCCCAUUAAUCUCACUCGGUAUGCAGUAUACGAAUAUAUUUCUGUAUAUGUAGUCGAAUUAUGGUCCCUGUGAAAUUUCUUCGUGGAAACUUGAAGGUAAAAUUAAUUGGUCAAAACAACAAACUAAAAUGAUCGAAAUUGAUUACUGGGAAUGAAACUUCUUAGCCUUCUUUGCUAGCGCAAUGCAAAUAGCACUCUGGGGAUAGCUCUGGCUGCUACUAGCUAAAUGUACCAGUGGUUUUGUAAAUGUGAGAGCUGGUUCCACCACACUACCAAACACAGGCUCAACACCAUUGCUUGGAUCUUGAAACUCUUGUGUGAAGAAACAAAACAGUAGCUAUUCCUCUAUUCAGUUUUGAUGCAUUCCUUGCAAUCAAUUGUUAACCUCAG